Molecule: ribosomal RNA, 253 nt
Filed under: uncultured bacterium
Lineage: Bacteria
Description: partial 16S ribosomal RNA
Rfam family: Bacterial small subunit ribosomal RNA
Source: RNAcentral
UACGGAGGGGGCUAGCGUUGUUCGGAAUUACUGGGCGUAAAGCGCACGUAGGCGGCUUUGUAAGUUAGAGGUGAAAGCCCGGGGCUCAACUCCGGAAUUGCCUUUAAGACUGCAUCGCUAGAAUUGUGGAGAGGUAAGUGGAAUUCCGAGUGUAGAGGUGAAAUUCGUAGAUAUUCGGAAGAACACCAGUGGCGAAGGCGACUUACUGGUCUGCGACUGACGCUGUGGCGCGAAAGCUAGGGGAGCAAACGGG